Small RNA from Actinomyces massiliensis F0489, 109 nucleotides. It matches the Rfam family "Actinomyces-1 RNA". Lineage: Bacteria; Bacillati; Actinomycetota; Actinomycetes; Actinomycetales; Actinomycetaceae. The record is from Rfam.
GUCACCGCCGGACGGGAGUGGUCGUGAGGGUUGGGGAACCCGAUGAUCGGCCAUCACCGAGGUGACCGAGGGUCUAAGGGAGCCCGAGGGCGCCGCUUCGGCGAAGGAG